Molecule: ribosomal RNA, 433 nt
Filed under: uncultured bacterium
Lineage: Bacteria
Description: partial 16S ribosomal RNA
Rfam family: Bacterial small subunit ribosomal RNA
Source: RNAcentral
AACGAACGCUGGCGGCAUGCCUAAUACAUGCAAGUCGAACGAGAUCUUCGGAUCUAGUGGCGCACGGGUGCGUAACGCGUGGGAAUCUGCCCUUGGGUUCGGAAUAACUUCUGGAAACGGAAGCUAAUACCGGAUGAUGACGUAAGUCCAAAGAUUUAUCGCCCAAGGAUGAGCCCGCGUAGGAUUAGCUAGUUGGUGGGGUAAAGGCCCACCAAGGCGACGAUCCUUAGCUGGUCUGAGAGGAUGAUCGGCCACACUGGGACUGAGACACGGCCCAGACUCCUACGGGAGGCAGCAGUAGGGAAUAUUGGACAAUGGGCGAAAGCCUGAUCCAGCAAUGCCGCGUGAGUGAUGAAGGCCUUAGGGUUGUAAAGCUCUUUUACCCGGGAUGAUAAUGACAGUACCGGGAGAAUAAGCUCCGGCUAACUCCGUG